Myotis lucifugus (little brown bat) is the source of this 113-nucleotide small nucleolar RNA. The record is from Ensembl. NCBI's taxonomy places the organism in Eukaryota, Metazoa, Chordata, Mammalia, Chiroptera, Vespertilionidae.
CCUACAAAGGCGUGUCUGUGGGUCCCUGUCUUUGGACACGUAAGAAAUGUGGACUUGGAGAAGUCUGGAGCCAGCUUGCUCCCUGCAGCCUCAAAAUCAACCAUCCCACAGAG